Molecule: ribosomal RNA, 1317 nt
Filed under: Vagrans egista
Lineage: Eukaryota; Metazoa; Arthropoda; Insecta; Lepidoptera; Nymphalidae
Description: 16S ribosomal RNA
Source: RNAcentral
GGGGGUAAAUUAAUAAAUAAAAUAAUAAUAAAAAAAUUUUUAAUAUGGGGGUAUUAAAGUAUAUUUUUUAGAAUUAAUAAAUAUUUUAUAGUGAAUUAGUAUUGUAAAAGAAUUUUGAAAUAAGGGUGAAAAUUAAUUAAUUAAAAAGUAAAUUUAAUUUAUUGUAUCUUGUGUAUCAGAGUUUAUUUAAAAAUAUUUAAUUUAAAAUUAAAAUCUCGAAUUUAAAAGAGUUAAUUAGUUAAAAGAGUUAAUGUUGCAUAAUUAUUUUAAAUAACUAAUUUGAAAUGAAAUGUUAAUCGUUUUUAAAUAUAUCUAGUUUUUUUAGAAAAAAAUUUAAUUUAAAAUUUAAAAAAUUUUAUUUUUUUAUUUUUAAAAAUAAAAUUUUAAAAUUAAAUAUAUUAAGGGAUAAGCUUUAAUUUAAAUUUUUAUAAUCAAAUAAAUUAAAAAUAAAAUUUUUAAAAUUUAUAUUGUUUAAAAAUUAUAAUUUAUUAUAAAAAAUUUUAAUAAAAAUAAAAUUUAAUGAUAAUUUAAAUUUAUAUAAAAAAAUAUUUUUUAAUGAAAAUAAAAUAGAAAUAAUGAUAAAAUUAGUAUAUUAAAAUUAAUAAAAAUUUUAAUUAAAUUAAAAUUAAUUUAAAGGAAUUCGGCAAAAUUUUAUAUUCACUUGUUUAUCAAAAACAUGUCUUUUAGAAAAUAAUUUAAAGUCUAAUCUGCCCACUGAUUAUAAAUUAAAGGGCUGCAGUAUAUUGACUGUACAAAGGUAGCAUAAUCAUUAGUCUUUUAAUUGAAGACUUGUAUGAAAGAUUUGAUGAAAUAUAAACUGUCUCUAUAUUAAUUAUAAAACUUAAUUUUUUAGUUAAAAAGCUAAAAUUUAUUUAAAAGACGAGAAGACCCUAUAGAGUUUUAUAAUUUUUUUAAUUAAAAUUAAAUAUAUAUUUAUAAAUUAAAAUUAAAGAAAUUAUUUUAUUGGGGUGAUAGAAAAAUUAAAAUAACUUUUUUUAAAUUUAAACCAUAAAUAAGUGAAUUAAUGAUCCAUAACUAAUGAUUAUAAGAAAAAAUUACCUUAGGGAUAACAGCGUAAUUUUUUUUUUUAGUACAAAUAAAAAAAAAAGGUUGCGACCUCGAUGUUGGAUUAAGAUAAAAAUUAAAUGCAAAAGUUUAAAUUUUUGAUCUGUUCGAUCAUUAAAAUCUUACAUGAUCUGAGUUCAAACCGGUGUGAGCCAGGUUGGUUUCUAUCUUUAGAAUAUUAUAAUAUUUUAGUACGAAAGGAUCAAGUAUUAUAAAUAAUUUAAUAAUUAAGAAUAUUAAUAAAAUUAUUUA